RNAcentral lists this ribosomal RNA (1953 nucleotides) under Triticum aestivum (bread wheat). Its description in RNAcentral is "partial small subunit ribosomal RNA". The record is from RNAcentral. Lineage: Eukaryota; Viridiplantae; Streptophyta; Magnoliopsida; Poales; Poaceae.
AUGGCGUCUGGAUCCGCUUCUUCCGGCGGCUCCGUUCCACUUGGGUCCUUGUCUGGAUCCACUUCUUCCGGCGACUCUAGCUCUCGGAGGGGGCUCAUCUCGUGCUUGCACAGCCUCAACUGCCGCCACGAGUAUGCGCCUCUUCCCCACGACGACGAUUUGUGCCAAGCCACGCGCAAGCUCAUCGUCGGUCACUACGACGAGGCGUUCCGCCGGCUCCGGCUGCCCUGCAAGGCCAUGCCCGACCUUUACGGCCUCCUCAGCACCGACAGCCUCUGCAUCGGCCCCCUCGACCCCGUCUCCAACAUCAUCCUCAACACCCUCGCCCUCCUCCCCACCACCCUCGUCGAAGUCGAGGCCAAGACAGAGUCCGAUGAGGCGGAGUCCGACGAUGAGAGCAUGAGGUCCAAGAGAAAGAGACACGGACCCGGUUUCGACCCCUGGCACGAGGUUGCAUGCAGGUCCGCCCAGAGUCUCAUGGCUUUCCUUGUGGCAUACUUCGGAUGCAUCAACGAGGCACAGGCCUUCCGCUACCUCUACAGGGCCGGCGCCAAUCUCCUCCUCGCCGUCAUGCUCGUCCAGCACGACCUCUACCAUACCAAGGAGGAGGCACUGGACCCUGAAUCCGACAGGACCAAGGCCGCCCUCAAGUUGGCGGCCACCAGCGCAGGCCACUGUUCGCCCGCCAUCUUUGCUCAGGUCAUGGCAAUCCGGCUCAAACAGGGCGACCUCGACCUCUUCAACCAGCAUCUGUUUUCGGCCAAUGACCCUCUCACGGCUGAGGAUGCCCAUGAAAUCCACCGUGGGUUGCACAUGAUGAUGACCCCGAUGUGUGUUGCCAACAUUAGCAACAGCAAAGAUGGGCUGGUUGUCCAUGCCCGUCACAACCUCGACGACGGCGCUAUCUGGUCCGAGACAAAGCCCCUUGUCUCUUCUAGUGCAGCAGCUCACACCAGGAUCACCUCCACCACCUUCCGCUGCGAUGGGACCGCCAUCUCGUCUCUGCAGUCCGGACUGCCUAGCAAGCUGCAAGAUUGCCUGACGAUAGCAGAUUUCCAGAAACACAUUCUCAUCGCCUCGUGCGGUGGCGACAACUGCGAUUACCUGCGGUCUCUCAAGAUGUACCUCUAUGGCAUGAUUCACAACCUGUACGUCCAGGCCUUCAAGAUGUUGCGCGCACCCUCGGGCUCCACCAUGCGCAGCAUCCUCAUGGCCGGCCAUUGCUAUGGCCCCUGUGACCCUCUCUCCAACAUCAUCAUUAACUCAGUCUGGCAUGAGACGUGUGGCUCCGUUCUCCCGGCUUCUGACCGCAUGAUGUUGAAAGAGUACAAUGACAUCCUGGACCCCCUAUCUCUGCUCCGCCUAGUUGUCCGUUCCCUCGAGGGGCUUGCAAACCUUGCCUUGUCCGUCGACCCCCAAUCCUCAAUUGCUCGUGCUCUGGAGAAACUCUGCAGUGCAAGAUGCGACCUUGUUGACAUGUUAUCGUCUGCACCAAAGAUUGAUGAAAUCCCCUUCCACGAGGCGGCCAUGGCUGCUAGACAGCCGCUGCCCCUUCAGCUAGGUGAAUUUCACCGGAUGCUGCUGCUCAAUCCUGAAGCCCGAAAACUCCUGGUCUCACAUAUAACCAAGGCGCAAACCAGCGGUGUUGUGUUGUUCUAUGAUAAAAUCAGAGAAGAUGUUGUUGCGCUGUGGCGUGUUUACAAAGCAGCACCCUGGUAUCAACCCCCCGUGCAAGCUCCUGCUCCUGAACUUAGUGUAGAGGCCUUGAGGCGGGUAUCAGACAUGAGAUCACAGUAUGAGUAUUGGAGGAGCUGGCUGCGUUCGAAGAUUGAACAGGUGCUCAAGGAUUACACGGACCAUCAUUUUUGGGGACCAAAGUAUGAACUUGAUUUUAUAAUUGGUGCGGAUCAAAGACAGGAAGGCUAUGCCCCUUCACUGAUACGUGCUACCUAG